This 468-nucleotide ribosomal RNA is filed under the name uncultured bacterium. RNAcentral's name for it is "partial 16S ribosomal RNA". It matches the Rfam family "Bacterial small subunit ribosomal RNA", at positions 28 to 507 of the family's 1533-position model. The record is from RNAcentral.
GACGAACGCUGGCGGCGUGCUUAACACAUGCAAGUCGAACGGAAAGGCGCUGCUUUUGUUGGGUGCUCGUGUGGCGAACGGGUGUGUAUAACGUGAGUAACCUCCACUUGACAUUGGGAUAACUUCACGAAAAUGGGGCUAAUAUACGAUAGGAGCUACUGCAGCAUGUUGGGGGUUGGUAAGAUUCGGCGGUGGGGGAUGGAAUGGAGGGUUCUCAGCUUGUUGGGGAGGUAGGGGCUUACCAAGUCUUUGACGGUUAGCCCACCUGAGAGGGUGACCGGCCACAUUAGUACUGAGAUACGGACCAGACUCCAACGGUAGGCAGCAGUGGGGAAUAUUGCACAAUAGGCGGAAGCCUGAUGCAGCAGCGCCGCGUGCGGGAUGACGGCCUUCGGGUGGUAAACCACUUUCGCAGGUGACGAAGCGUUAGUGACGGUAAUGGGUAAAGAAGCACCGGCUAACUACGUG